This 422-nucleotide ribosomal RNA is filed under the name uncultured bacterium. RNAcentral's name for it is "bacterial SSU rRNA". It matches the Rfam family "Bacterial small subunit ribosomal RNA", at positions 358 to 772 of the family's 1533-position model. The record is from RNAcentral.
GGAAUAUUGGACAAUGGGGGAAACCCUGAUCCAGCAACGCCGCGUGGGGGAUGAAGGUCUUCGGAUUGUAAACCCCUGUUGGGAGGGACGAAGGCUUGCGGGCAAACAGUCCGCACGCUUGACGGUACCUCACGAGGAAGCCCCGGCUAACUCUGUGCCAGCAGCCGCGGUAAUACAGAGGGGGCGAGCGUUAUUCGGCAUUAUUGGGCGUAAAGGGCGCGUAGGCGGCCGAGCAAGUCUUGGGUGAAAUCCCUCGGCUCAACCGAGGAACUGCCUUGGAAACUGCUUGGCUUGAGGCCGGGAGAGGAUGGUGGAAUUCCCAGUGUAGCGGUGAAAUGCGUAGAUAUUGGGAGGAACACCGGUGGCGAAGGCGGCUCUCUGGACCGGUACUGACGCUGAGGCGCGAAAGCGUGGGGAGCAAA